This 371-nucleotide long non-coding RNA is filed under the name Elaeis guineensis (African oil palm). RNAcentral describes it as "long non-coding RNA (EGUI_LNC073713)". The record is from RNAcentral. Lineage: Eukaryota; Viridiplantae; Streptophyta; Magnoliopsida; Arecales; Arecaceae.
CAAAUGGACUUGCAUAUGCCACUUGGUGCAUAACAUAUUGAGGCGUUCUCGAUGUAGGGAUCCUUGAACAGGGUUUGGAUGAUAACUCUACAAAUUGCUUAGACUGAGAGUGGAUCAAGUGUUGAAGUGAAAGGUAGGCAACACACGUGGGUACUGCUUGUGAAGUGGGUUGAGAGUGCUUCUUUCAUGUUUUUCACCAUUUGAAGGUGAAAAAAUGAUGAAGAGGGGAUAGCAUGGUUUGCCAUAUCGUGUCGAACUGGCCGGUACACCCCAUCUCGUACCGGACCGGCGGCAAACCAGCACGAUUCGAUCGGUAAAAUCGGUACACCGGCGGUACCGACGAAUAAAGAACGAAAAGUGAGAAAGAGAGA